Sapajus apella (tufted capuchin) is the source of this 3406-nucleotide RNA transcript. It is a transcript of the gene named ovomucoid-like, with no coding region annotated. NCBI's taxonomy places the organism in Eukaryota, Metazoa, Chordata, Mammalia, Primates, Cebidae. The transcript is spliced from 6 exons. The record is from RefSeq and is a predicted model, not a curated record.
AUUUACCCUGGCCACUUGAAUAGUGUCAAGCUUUAUCUUUGGCAAUGUUUUAUUAGUAACGUCUAAGUGAGAGAAAUACAAAAUAAAAUUUUGGCACCAUUGGAAAUAUUAGAUGUGCUAUUGUCAAAGUUCAAGCAGUGGAUCACAAUCAGGACUUAAAAGACUCCAUGGAAGCUGAAUGUAUUUAAGAUUAUUAGAAUGACCAGUUAGGAGUGUCAGUAGAAGCCUCCCUGGAUAUAGUAAUUCUCUCUGUGAUGGUUACAUUCUCUUUCAAAAAAUUUGUCCUUUCAUAGCAUUCUCUCCCACCUGCACCAAAGUGUCAUAUUCUGCCUUGAAACAGAGAUUUUUCCUAUGAGCUUUUUUUGUAUAGGUGAUAUUAUACUAAGAGGAUACAUUAAUGGUAGUGAAAUUUCUGGAUCAAAGUGUCCAUAUAUCUAGUAAUGUUAUAUCUAAAGUUUCAGAGUUAUAAUUGAAAGACAGUCAUUAGAGUACCUACAGAUUCCCUUAAAUUUUAUGCACAAUAUGACGUAUAUGUGAACAUAUGUAUAAUUUUCUGUCCUUUUAUUAGAAUCUCAAAGGGGUUUCUCUUUAAUCUCAAAACAUAUCCUAGACUUUAAGAUCCUGAGAAUAGGGUUGUAGAUAAUGUUAGGUUUUGAAGGGAAGGCAAGAGUUAAAGACAGAAAGAGGGAGAGUUGGUGGCUCUGCAGCAAUGCAGUUUUAUUGCUGGUGCAACCUGUGGAAGUUGGGGACCAGCUUAAUGCCUGAGCCCACUGUUGUUUACAGGCUGGGGUAAUUUAUAGGCCUGAGUGGGAGGGGUCUGGGCAGUAUGGCUUGCUGCCUGGGAGGAUAUUGAUAAGGUGUUCCUAUGAUCAGGUGGUUUGGCCCUUUUUCUGGUGGGAUAUGGUUAGAAUGUUCCUUGGACUUUUGCCCAGCAGGAUAUAAGAGGGGUGUUCCUUAAGCAGGGAAUGAAAAAGAUGUUCCUGUGCUUUGUGGUCAGGUGGCUAGGCAGGAUGUUUCUCAUGGCCUGAACCCCCAUGGAAUGUUUCACCCUGACCAAGGCCUGCAAAAUGGAGGGGAGACUUGCAAAAUGGUGCAGUCUGGACUAACAUAUAAUUUUCUCUAAUACAGGGCCAUGCACAUAAAUGUUAAUAAGUGGCAGAGAAAACAGCUUUGCAAAUAUAGUAUUGGGGGCAGAUUUUUUUCUUCAAUAAGACAACGUACCUGGAGUCUUUUUAUAUACUUUUCUCCCUCUUAUGGGGUCUUACUAUUUCUUCUUACCCUAAAUUUUCUUGUCAACCUUGUCAAUUUCUUGUUAAAUGUCCUCUCAACUUUCUGAGGUCUGAAAUGAGAAUGGAAAGGAGUAGAUAGGGCUCCAAAAUAUUUUGUGUUUUAAAUGGAGAGAAUAUGGCAUUGUGGGGAAAGUAAAAAUAUCUGUGUGUUAUUAAGGAUGAUGAUGGAGGAUUUGAAAAGGUGGCAUCAGUGUCAUGGGCUGUUGUUUAACGCUAAUCUCCAGGAAAAGUGAGCCAUCCCUCAAUAUUUUCCUUCCAGCUUCCCUGGUUCCCAAGUUAAGAUGACUGAUGACAUAAGAAGCUUCAAUGCUCCUGUUUGGAAGAUUCAAUCAUGAGAAAGUAACACAGCAAUGAUGAUGAUGAUGAUGAUGAUGAUGAAGGUUACAAUAAGGAUAAUAAGAUAACGAUGAUAUCACUGUAAAGCAAUGAUGAAAUUGUCCAUGCCAUGACUUCCUGCUUUAGAUAUUUCUUAGAUAACCUCCGUAUAAAGUAAGUUCUCUGAAAACUUCCAGGAAACUUGAUUCCUCUGUGCCAUAUCUCUCCUGGCUCAUUUGUCUUCCUUAUUCAGAGAUCUAUAAAAAAGACUCCUCCAGAUAUGAGGUAGCUAAGGAGGCAAGAGUGAACAAGACAGUCAGUUUUCUUUUGCACCAUUCCUUCUUGAGGUGAGUAAUUUGGGGCAUAUGAUAUGGUGGCUUUUAUGUGUAGGACUGCUGUCAGGAUUUUUCCAGAUAUUGUCUUUCUAGUAAUAACUGUUCCAGCUUCCAUAAAAGAUAAACUGAACUCUCAAAAUUGCAUUUGGGUACUAAAUGCCACACAGAAAGUUAUCCUAAACAUUUUUCCACACAUAUUUGUUAAUGCACAUAUUUUUUAUUGAUUUUAGGGGUAGAGGAGCAAAGGGAAUAGUCUCUAACGAAUAGAAAAGAAAUACAGAAUCUUAGGAGCUGUGACUGUUCUCGCAUCUAAUGAAGAGUAAAGGGAUAUAGAAUCUCAGGAGCUGUGAUAUUCUCCCAAGUGGGAGGGUACAGGAAAUCGUUCCUCUAUCUUAUUGUGUUCAUUGAAGUUUUAUAGGACCUGUGUCAUAAAUAUUCUGAAUGUUUCUCCGCAAAUUUCUUUAAGGGAGAGUGAGGAAGCAAAAUGGCUCACUUCUCAUUGUGGAUCCAAGCCAGUUUUAUCAUCAUGUUGGCACUUUAUUUUUCCUCUGAUACUGUAACAUCUCGGUUGCUUGACAACAGGAUGCCACCAGACUGUAAGGCAUAUGGACAACCACCAUUUCCUUGCAGCAGGGAGUAUGAUCCUCUCUGUGCAUCUGAUGGACUCCCCUAUGGUAACGAAUGCAUGUUUUGUCUGGACGUUAGAAAAAAUAAACCUUCUCUUACUUUUCAACACUGGAACGAAUGUUGACCUUUGUCGAUGCGGUGCUAUACAUUCCUAUGACAUUUCUUGUAAUCCUUUCUUGUUGGAUUCUAUGGAAUGUAGUAUGUAGUGCUUUAAAUUCCUACAAAAGUAGACGGAUGCUAUUUUAGAGGGAGUAUAGAUUAUAAAAAUUGGAAUACUCUUAUAAUUCCAAAGCACUAUAAUUUAAAAAUUAGAAUUAUCUAUCAGUAUUCAAAUAUUUGAGGAAGCUCUGAAAACACAGAAAUGUAAUUGUGUAUUUUAAUGAUGAAACAAAGAUAUUUCUCAAUCAAUAAAUACUUUGCUCAAUGAACUUGUUGCACGAUAUUUACUUUAUUAAAAUCACUUUUACUUUUGUGAUUGCACAUAAUGUAUAAUAUAGCUAAUGCUACCUAAAACAAUGUUGCACAGACUUGUUUUUUAAUAUAUAAAAAAGUAUAGAUAUCUAAGACUCUCCAGAUUAUAAUAAAUCUAAAUCUUCGGGACAAAAGUCUAGUGUCUAAAUUUUAAUCAGCACCCUAGGUGAGGCAAGCAUUGACAGAAACUUUUAGUCUUAAAAAUAGUUUAAUAUUUACAGCAAUCCAGCUUCCAUACAUAUUUCAGGAAAAUUUCACUGUAUUUGUUCCGGUACAGGCUAAGCCACCAUAUUAGUUAUACAAUAUAUAUAAAAAUUAAGGCUAGGCCUGGUGUCUCACACCUGUAAUCCCAGCACUUUGGGAGGAUCA